AGACGCGCUAGCUUCAGGUGUUAGUGUCUUAACGGACGUGAGGGUUCAAGUCCCUCUCUUCGCACCAAAAUCACAUGUUUCAUAUCG
Molecule: transfer RNA, 87 nt
Filed under: Pantoea sp. Sc1
Lineage: Bacteria; Pseudomonadati; Pseudomonadota; Gammaproteobacteria; Enterobacterales; Erwiniaceae
Description: tRNA-Leu
Source: RNAcentral